AUUGAACGCUGGCGGCAGGCUUAACACAUGCAAGUCGAGCGGUAGCACAGGGGAGCUUGCUCCCUGGGUGACGAGCGGCGGACGGGUGAGUAAUGUCUGGGAAACUGCCUGAUGGAGGGGGAUAACUACUGGAAACGGUAGCUAAUACCGCAUAACGUCGCAAGACCAAAGAGGGGGACCUUCGGGCCUCUUGCCAUCAGAUGUGCCCAGAUGGGAUUAGCUAGUAGGUGGGGUAAUGGCUCACCUAGGCGACGAUCCCUAGCUGGUCUGAGAGGAUGACCAGCCACACUGGAACUGAGACACGGUCCAGACUCCUACGGGAGGCAGCAGUGGGGAAUAUUGCACAAUGGGCGCAAGCCUGAUGCAGCCAUGCCGCGUGUGUGAAGAAGGCCUUCGGGUUGUAAAGCACUUUCAGCGAGGAGGAAGGUGGCGAGCUUAAUACGUUCAUCAAUUGACGUUACUCGCAGAAGAAGCACCGGCUAACUCCGUG
Molecule: ribosomal RNA, 490 nt
Filed under: uncultured bacterium
Lineage: Bacteria
Description: partial 16S ribosomal RNA
Rfam family: Bacterial small subunit ribosomal RNA
Source: RNAcentral